GGGGACCUUCGGGGCCCUAUAAAUCCAUCGGACCUAUGGUCCAAAGCAACGGAAGACAGAGA
This 62-nucleotide non-coding RNA is filed under the name unclassified sequences. RNAcentral describes it as "L2-Alphaproteobacteria ribosomal protein leader". It matches the Rfam family "L2-Alphaproteobacteria ribosomal protein leader". The record is from RNAcentral.